Molecule: ribosomal RNA, 301 nt
Filed under: uncultured bacterium
Lineage: Bacteria
Description: partial 16S ribosomal RNA
Rfam family: Bacterial small subunit ribosomal RNA
Source: RNAcentral
CAGCAGCCGCGGUAAUACAGAGGAUGCAAGCGUUAUCCGGAAUGAUUGGGCGUAAAGCGUCUGUAGGUGGCUUUUCAAGUCCGCCGUCAAGUCCCAGGGCUCAACCCUGGACAGGCGGUGGAAACUACCAAGCUGGAGUACGGUAGGGGCAGAGGGAAUUUCCAGUGGAGCGGUGAAAUGCGUUGAGAUCGAAAAGAGCACCAACAGCGAAAGCACUCUGCUGGGACGACACUGACACUAAGAGACGAAAGCUAGGGGAGCAAAUGGGAUUAGAUACCCCGGUAGUCCCUGUCUCUUAUAC